AGUGAACGCUGGCGGCAGGCCUAACACAUGCAAGUCGAACGGCAGCACAGUAAGAGCUCGCCUCUAAGGGUGGCGAGGGGCGGACGGGUGAGACAUACAUCGGAAUCCUCUUUUACGUGGGGGACUUCGGAGGGCAACUUAUGCUAAUACCGCAUAUGACCUACGGGUGAAAGCAGGAGUUCAUCGGGCCUUGCGCGACUGAAUGAGACGAUGCCGGAUUAGCUAGUUGGCGGGGUAAAGGCACACCAAGGCGACGAUCCGUAGCUGGUCUGAGAGGAUGAUCGGCCACACUGGAACUGAGACACGGUCCAGACUCCUACGGGAGGCAGCAGUAGGGAAUAUUCGGCAAUGGGCGAAAGCCUGAUGGAGCCAUACCGCGUGAGUGAAGAAGGUCUUCGGGUUGUAAAACCCUUUUGUUGGGAAAGAAAAGCUGCAGAUUUAUACACGGCUGUUUUGACGGUACCCAAACAGUAAGCACCGGCUAACUUCGUG
This 492-nucleotide ribosomal RNA is filed under the name uncultured bacterium. RNAcentral describes it as "partial 16S ribosomal RNA". It matches the Rfam family "Bacterial small subunit ribosomal RNA", at positions 29 to 507 of the family's 1533-position model. The record is from RNAcentral.